Molecule: long non-coding RNA, 231 nt
Filed under: Marmota monax (woodchuck)
Lineage: Eukaryota; Metazoa; Chordata; Mammalia; Rodentia; Sciuridae
Source: RNAcentral
GAGUACCACCUCUUGGUGACGACGGUUCCACCGUACCAGGUCCGUCACAGGUGGUGUCAUCACCCUCUCGGACCUUAGUGACAGUGGGUGGACCGACAACCGGUUCAUGGUUCUUCGUCCUUCGACGGACUCGACGACUUCUACAAACCACAACUGUUCCUACAGGGACGGGUCGACACCCCCGGAGCACCAGUUCCAGAUCCCUCCCAGACCUCACAGGUACCCCUCAAG